This 441-nucleotide long non-coding RNA is filed under the name Homo sapiens (human). RNAcentral's name for it is "HSALNT0303912". The record is from RNAcentral. Lineage: Eukaryota; Metazoa; Chordata; Mammalia; Primates; Hominidae.
AAGUGUGAGAGUAUCAUGGGAGGAAAAUUGCUGAUGGGAGAUAAAGUCCAGGGCUCUUAGAAUGCACAAUUGAUUACUAUAUCUUACAACAGGUCAAGCCCAAAAUCACAAAAGAUAGCAUCUUCCCAUGUCCAGAUGGACUGCUCUAUAUGCCUGGUCCUCACCUGGGUGACAUUUUGUGACCAGAAGAGAAAGGCCAAGAGAAACGAACAUCAGCUUCUCUAACCUAUUUAUAGCCAGGAUGAUAGAAUCACAAGAUUUUCAAGGUUUACAGGUGAUGGGCUGCUCUCAAAAGGAGCUUUGUUGUGAAAACGUACCAAAAGAAAAUGGAUGAGUGAUUCUCCAGUACGUUGCUUUUCAAUCCUAUGACAUCCUCACCUCUGCCCUAUGGGUAGAUUCUUUGAUGUCUGAAAAGUUUCUGUACAUAAAGAGGAACAUUCA